UACGUAGGGGGCGAGCGUUGUCCGGAAUUAUUGGGCGUAAAGGGUUCGUAGGCGGUAAUACAUGUCAGAUGUGAAAUCUUGUGGCUUAACCACAUCAAGCAUCUGAAACUGUAUAACUUGAGUGGAGGAGAGGUAAGUGGAAUUCCUAGUGUAGCGGUGAAAUGCGUAGAUAUUAGGAAGAAUACCAGUAGCGAAGGCGACUUACUGGCCUCUAACUGACGCUGAUGAACGAAAGCGUGGGGAGCAAACAGGAUUAGAUACCCUGGUA
Molecule: ribosomal RNA, 268 nt
Filed under: uncultured prokaryote
Description: partial 16S ribosomal RNA
Rfam family: Bacterial small subunit ribosomal RNA
Source: RNAcentral